This 206-nucleotide small RNA is filed under the name Escherichia coli. RNAcentral's name for it is "IS102 RNA". It matches the Rfam family "IS102 RNA". Rfam says of the family: This family consists of a group of Shigella flexneri and Escherichia coli RNA genes which are 208 bases in length and are found between the yeeP and flu genes. The function of this RNA is unknown. Lineage: Bacteria; Pseudomonadati; Pseudomonadota; Gammaproteobacteria; Enterobacterales; Enterobacteriaceae. The record is from Rfam by way of RNAcentral.
ACGAUCAAUAUCGAUUUAAUCGAUCGUUUAUAUCGAUCGAUUAGCUAAUAAUAACCUUUGUCAGUAACAUGCACAGAUAUGUUACCAGAAAGACAUUCCGGGAACAACAGAACCACAAUUCAGAAAUUCCCACAGCCGGACCUCCGGCACUGUAACCCUUUACCUGCCGGUAUCCACGUUUGUGGGUACCGGCUUUUUUAUUCACC